This 360-nucleotide ribosomal RNA is filed under the name uncultured bacterium. RNAcentral describes it as "bacterial SSU rRNA". It matches the Rfam family "Bacterial small subunit ribosomal RNA", at positions 29 to 418 of the family's 1533-position model. The record is from RNAcentral.
AACGAACGCUGGCGGCAGGCCUAACACAUGCAAGUCGAACGCUCCGCAAGGGGAGUGGCGCACGGGUGAGUAACACGUGGGAACCUACCUUCUGGUACGGAACAACCAAGGGAAACUUUGGCUAAGACCGUAUACGACCUCCGGGUGAAAGAUUGAUCGCCGGAAGAGGGGCCAGCGUCCGAUUAGGUAGUUGGUGAGGUAACGGCUCACCAAGCCUUCGAUCGGUAGCUGGUCUGAGAGGAUGACCAGCCACACUGGGACUGAGACACGGCCCAGACUCCUACGGGAGGCAGCAGUGGGGAAUAUUGGACAAUGGGCGCAAGCCUGAUCCAGCCAUGCCGCGUGAGUGAUGAAGGCCUU